RNAcentral lists this ribosomal RNA (472 nucleotides) under uncultured organism. Its description in RNAcentral is "partial 16S ribosomal RNA". It matches the Rfam family "Bacterial small subunit ribosomal RNA", at positions 335 to 798 of the family's 1533-position model. The record is from RNAcentral.
ACUCCUACGGGAGGCAGCAGUGGGGAAUUUUGGACAAUGGGCGAAAGCCUGAUCCAGCAAUGCCGCGUGCAGGAUGAAGGCCUUCGGGUUGUAAACUGCUUUUGUACGGAACGAAAAAGCUCCUUCUAAUACAGGGGGCCCAUGACGGUACCGUAAGAAUAAGCACCGGCUAACUACGUGCCAGCAGCCGCGGUAAUACGUAGGGUGCGAGCGUUAAUCGGAAUUACUGGGCGUAAAGCGUGCGCAGGCGGUUAUGUAAGACAGAUGUGAAAUCCCCGGGCUCAACCUGGGAACUGCAUUUGUGACUGCAUGGCUAGAGUACGGUAGAGGGGGAUGGAAUUCCGCGUGUAGCAGUGAAAUGCGUAGAUAUGCGGAGGAACACCGAUGGCGAAGGCAAUCCCCUGGACCUGUACUGACGCUCAUGCACGAAAGCGUGGGGAGCAAACAGGAUUAGAUACCCGUGUAGUCCCAU